Molecule: ribosomal RNA, 857 nt
Filed under: uncultured delta proteobacterium
Lineage: Bacteria; Deltaproteobacteria
Description: bacterial SSU rRNA
Rfam family: Bacterial small subunit ribosomal RNA
Source: RNAcentral
AAAUCUUCGGAUUCUGAGUAGAGUGGCGCACGGCCCCAGUAACACGUGGAUAACCUGCCCUAUGAUCUGGGAUAACACNUCGAAAGGGGUGCUAAUACCGGAUAAGCCCCCGAGGUCUUCGGACCUAGAGGGAAAAGAUUUAUCGUCAUAGGAUGGGUCCGCGGUCCAUUAGCUAGUUGGUGGGGUAAUGGCCUACCAAGGCUGCGAUGGAUAGCUGGUCUGAGAGGAUGAUCAGCCACACUGGAACUGAGACACGGUCCAGACUCCUACGGGAGGCAGCAGUGGGGAAUUUUGCGCAAUGGGGGCAACCCUGACGCAGCAACGCCGCGUGAAGGAUGAAGGCCUUUGGGUCGUAAACUUCUGUCAGAGGGGAAGAAAUACUCGAAAGAGAGAUGACGGUACCCUCAAAGGAAGCACCGGCUAACUCCGUGCCAGCAGCCGCGGUAAUACGGAGGGUGCAAGCGUUGUUCGGAAUUAUUGGGCGUAAAGAGCAUGUAGGCGGACUGUUAAGUCUGGUGUGAAAGCCCGGGGCUCAACCCCGGAAGUGCAUUGGAUACUGGCAGUCUUGAGUAUGGGAGAGGAAAGUGGAAUUCCGAGUGUAGGAGUGAAAUCCGUAGAUAUUCGGAGGAACACCAGUGGCGAAGGCGGCUUUCUGGACCAAUACUGACGCUGAGAUGCGAAAGCGUGGGGAGCGAACAGGAUUAGAUACCCUGGUAGUCCACGCCGUAAACGAUGGGUACUAGGUGUUUGCGGGUAACCACUCCUGCAGUGCCGCAGCUAACGCAUUAAGUACCCCGCUUGGGGGAGUACGGCCGCAAGGCUAAAAACUAAAAGGAAUUUUGACGGGGGGCCCCGCC